RNAcentral lists this ribosomal RNA (247 nucleotides) under uncultured bacterium. Its description in RNAcentral is "partial 16S ribosomal RNA". It matches the Rfam family "Bacterial small subunit ribosomal RNA", at positions 523 to 769 of the family's 1533-position model. The record is from RNAcentral.
AUACGGAGGGUGCAAGCGUUACUCGGAAUCACUGGGCGUAAAGCGCGCGCAGGCGGUCUUUUAAGUUGGAUGUGAAAUCCUAUGGCUCAACCAUAGAACUGCAUCCAAAACUGAAAGACUAGAGUCUGGGAGGGGAAGAUGGAAUUAGUGGUGUAGGGGUAAAAUCCGUAGAGAUCACUAGGAAUACCAAAAGCGAAGGCGAUCUUCUGGAACAGUACUGACGCUGAGGCGCGAAAGCGUGGGGAGC